This 5202-nucleotide long non-coding RNA is filed under the name Sus scrofa (pig). RNAcentral's name for it is "lncRNA (ENSSSCG00035054167.1)". The record is from RNAcentral. Lineage: Eukaryota; Metazoa; Chordata; Mammalia; Artiodactyla; Suidae.
AUGAACGAAGGAGACAGGAAAAUAAUGUUCAUGCACUAGGAAGCAGAAAGGUGUUGGCCUGGUGUUCUAGGCAAGAGGAGAUGGGUGGUUUCUAGGGUUCAGGUAGAGCACUGAAGUCCAUGCACUUACUGACAACCAGGGAGAGUUUGUCCACAGACAAAACAGAAAGAUGAAUUACAGACACUUGCAAUUUUUUGUGUGGAUGGAGUGGUGGGAAUAUCUGACCAUUCUUUGCCGAUCACUUGCAUUUUCUCAGUGCCUUAGAAAGCCAGGUUAUCAUCUGAGCAAAAGGAUGGGGAGAGAAUGCUGGGGAUGUGAGGAAAGAGGAUGUUGUGAAUGCCCUGUGGCUGGUGGUCCACUGGAGCAAAGUGCUCUCAGCCCUUUAGCUAACAUGGUUGUUUAUGUUUUUAAGCAUCUUUAGAUGGGCAGGUACUAAGUAGGCAUCAAAGUGGAAUUUACCAAUGUUGGAGUUUUUGCAGGCAUGAAAAGUCUUGAGAAAGAAAGAAUGUGAGUGAGUAAAAGGAAGUGGUUGAAACAAUGAACAGUGGGAUUUAAGUUUGGGAGGGUGAGAGGUGAAGACAUUUUUGAUCAGGAUAGCGCCAGGGCCAGAGAUAGGUGUCCAGAAAACUGCUAUACCCACUGUGGUUAAAGUGGACUAGAUAUUAUAACGAGAUAGUUGUCCUUAUUACAACUGCCAGUGAGACCUCCUAAAAAUUUUGGAAUAAAGAAUGUCAUAGCAAGACAGUGGGAGGAAAACCAAGAAAAACACUGUGUAAGGAAGGAGUCCAAGAAGAAAAUGGCCAUCCUUAGAUUCUCAGAAAUGCCUACAAACAAUAAGGGAUGGAAUACCUUAUACUGACCAUAUCAGAAAACUGAAACACAAAGAAAUAAAUCAUUCAUCCAAAAUGCAUGACUGGUUACAACCCUGUAGAGCUGAAACCAGAGUUCAGUCUUCCUGACUCUUACUGCCGCAGAACAGACAAAACAACCAAGGCCUAAUUGAAUCAUGUUGUUUCUGUUCUUGCGUUUAUCCUCACUGUUAUUGUUGUUAUAAUUAAUUGCAUUCUAAUAAACCCUAACUUAAAUAGAACAGGAAAUCAUUCUUGAUUCUUUUUCAGCUCAAUCUAUAUUUAACAUAAAUUCAACAGAAAACAAGAAGACACAAUCAAAAGAAAAUAGGAGGGUAUAAUCAGAGGGAAAUGUUUGCACACUGUAUUUUAUGAUUGGGUUUAGAAAACCAUGUUAUUUCUCAAAACAGUGAGUUCAGAGUGUCCAUCAGUGCUGCCCACAGGAUUAGUCGGGGGGUGCGGAGCAGGCAUCCUCUGUGCCCUCCCUGCAUGGCCAUUGUGACUGCCUGUGCUGAGCACCCCCACAGUGUACAGCAGCACAGCCUCUCCUUAUAAUAAGUAAACUCAGAAAACACAAAGUAAGAAUCAACCACCCCACCCCUGCACAUGCAACCUGAUUUGAGCAGAACAGCAUAUGUCAGGCAACUGCCCUCAGUUUGUGGGACAGCAGGCUUGAAGAUGGAGGCCCUCAAAGCCAUCAUCCAUCCAUCCUGCUGCCACCCACCCUGUGCACACUGCAGACUUUGAUCCACGUUAGCCAGUAACUGUGGAGAAAUAUACCCAGCCCCACGGAUGCUUCAGGUGGCAGGGUCAUGUUUAGCUGGGGUUCAAGUUAGGGUUAAGAUUAGGGUUAGGAUUAAUUUCCUUUGCAUAGUUUUCUUUGCACAGCGGACACGGUGCUUAUCAUCUGCCAGGCAUCACUUUUGGAGCCAGUUCAUCAGGUACCCAGAAAGUGUAGCUAUCUCAGGAAAGCAGCUUGUCCUAAAAUGAUUUAUUCUCUGCUAGGGGAGGGUGUAAUUGGCAUUUUUAGAGAAAUAAAGUAGUGAGGGUGAUAAUGAAGCUAAACAAUUCCAAGUAAUUGUUACCCUAAUUGCCUAAGUACAUAGCACAGCUUAAUCAUUUAAAUUGCUGAAAACUUUGGUGCUGCAAACUUUCUAGCCAUUGCAAAUGCAUCGUAUGCAUGCAUGCUUGUAGGUAGCACUGCAUAUAUGUGUCAGUGUAAAUGAGUAUAUUUCUUAUCUUCCAGCAGGAUGGUUUUAAAGUGCCUUCAGUAUGCCUAUCUCCAUUCUUGCAGAGGUAGGCAAUGAAGCUUAUCUCUUCUUUAAUUGAUCAUUCACUCAGUGAUUCUGCAUAUACUUCAAUCUGUAGAGCUCUGUACUAAGUAUAUUGGAUAUGUAGCCAAGAUUAUGGCUCAAUUCUUGCUUUAAAUUUUCUUAAAUACCUAUGUGCCAAUUUAGACAACAGACAGCUACAAUAUAAAGUGCCAAAUGCUACAAUCAAGGCACUAUAAUAACAUAGAGGGAAAUUGCCAAACCAACCCAGCCUGGAAGGAAGAUUUCCUCUCACAGCAAGCUGAGUCCUGAAGGAUAACAGACUGUCCCUAAUAGGAAAUAAUGUUCCUUUGUACCUGAGAUUCAGUGGUCUUUUAAUUCCGAGUCACCAUCUAGCACUGCUUUAUUUUCUGGGAUUAUGUAAGAAAGUGAGGAAAAGGGGGAAACAAUUUAUUUGCAGUAUCAAAAGUUGACAUUAAUCCAAGCUAUCGAGGAACAUCAUGAGUGUUCCAGUGCCAUUGGACCAGUGAUCAGAUUUUGAGUAGGUAGUCAGUUUCCCAUCUGGCUGAGUCACCCACACUGCCUGGGAGCCCUCUGAUGAUGUUGGCUCCUGGCUGCCUGACAUCUGGUGGCUCCCUGGCUCACUCUGACAAGCUGUAAUGAGACUUCAGUGAAUGUUUUAGGGAAGCUACUAAAUGCCCCUUCAUCUUAACAUAAAAGAAAAACCACAGCUAUUUAUUCAUACAUUUAUUUCAAUGCCUGUUUAUUAAACUUUAAUUGUAUAUCCAAGACUCAGUACAGUCUCUUAAUGUUCUCUCAUGUAAAUUUUAGAAAUAGAAGUUAGUUACUCAAAAAAGUGAAGAUAAUAUUAUGCAUGUUUGAUCUUUAUCUGUCCAGGUCUUCUUUCCAUUUGUUUGUUUAGCCUGUUGGAAGACAGUUUUCUAUGGGAUGUCUGGCAUUUCUGUACAUUUUACAAGCAGAGACAUGGACCAUCUUUGUUCCAAACUGCCUUUUCAAAGGUGUGUGUAUAGCUGACAGCCUUAGAAUAUGGAAGCAGUGUCUCCAUCCAGAGCAAAGCCAGGUUGUUUACUGUCCAGCACAGUAAAGAUAAAGUCUCCCUCCUGGGGUGACUGGCCUUUGUAAAAGCCCUGGGUUUCCCAGCUCAGGGUCCCUCUCCUACCGUGCAGCCCACUGUGUGUGCAGAUAUCAAAGCCUCUCAGCAUUAUCUUGCGGAAACUUGGAUUCAAGGAAACUGGCACAAGUGUUAAUCCUCUGGCUGUGGCUAGUGCUGUGAGUGACCAAGUCACUGGCCUCUGGUCCUGACAUCUCAUUUUAUGCCAGCAUCCAGGAGACUGGUGACUAAUUAGCUUAUAGAAGGCCCCUCAUAGUUCUUGAUAUAAUGUUCUGUUAAAUAAUUUAUUUUUCCCAUCAUCUUGUUUCCUUAUGGUGAAAUAAAUUUUCUUUUGCAAUUUUUUUUUAAAUUGAAGUACAGUUUAUUGACAAUAUCGUGUUAGUUGCAGGUGUACAGCACUGUGAUUCAGAUACAUAGGUAUAGAUAUAUUCAGAUUAUUUUCCAUUAUAGGUUAUUACAAGAUAUGGAACAUUAUUCUCUGUGGUAUACAGUAAAUUUUUGUUGGUUACCAAUGUUAUAUAUGGUGGCUUGUAUCUGUUAAUCUCAAACUCUGAAUUUACCCUUCUCCCUCACUUUUCCUUUUGGUAGCCAUAAGUGUGUUUUCUAUGUCUGUGGAUCUAUUUCUGUUUUGUAUAUAGAUUCAUUUGCAUUAUUUUUUAGACUCCACAUAUAAGUGAUAUCAUAUGAUAUUUAUCUUUCACUGACUGCCUUAUUAUUUCACUUCAUAUGGUGAUCUCUAGGUCCAUCCAUGUUACUACAAAUGGCAUUAUUUCAUUCUUUCAUAAGGCUGAGUAAUAUUCCAUUGUGUAUAUGUACCACAUCUUCUUUAUCCAUUCUUCUGUCAAUAGACAUUUACAUUGCUUCCAUGUCUUGGCUCUUGUUUAUAGUGCUGCUUUGAAAAAUUGGGGUGCAUGUAUCUUUUCAUAUUAGAAUUUUCAUCUUUUCCAGAUAUAUACUUGGAGUGGGAUUGCUGCAUCAUACUGUAGCUCUAUUUUCAGUUUUUUAAGGACUCUCCAUACUGUUUUAUAUAGUAAACAAUUUACAUUCCUACCCACAGUGAAGGAGGGUUCCCUUUUCUCCACACCCUGUCCAGCAUUUAUUGUUUGUGGAAUUUUUGACAUUGGCCAUUCUGACCAAUGUGAGAUGGCAGGCACCUCAUUGUGGCUCUGAUUUGCAUUUAUCUAAUAAUUAGCUAUGUGGAGCAUCUUUUCAUGUGCCUUUCGGCCAUCCGUAUGUCUUCUUUGGAGAAAUCCAUUUUUUAAUUGGAUUUUUUUUUUUUAACUGUUGAGUUCUAUGAGCAGUUCGUAUAUUUUGGAAAUUAACUUCUUAUUGAUCACAUCAUUUGCAAAUAUUUUCUCCCACUCUGUAGGUUGUCUUUUUAUUUUGUUGAUGAUUUCCUUUGCCAUACAAAAGCUUUUAAGUUUGAUUAUGUCCCAUUUGUUUAUUUUUGCUUUUAAUUUUCUUUUUUGACUUCAGAGACUGAUCUAAGAAAAUAUUGCUGUGAUUUAUGUCUGAAAAUGUUUUGUCUAUAUUCUCUCUAGGAUUUUUAUGAUGUCAUACCUUAUAUUUAAGUCUUUAAGCCAUGUUGAGUUUAUUUUUUGCUCAUGGUGUGAGGGUGUGUUCUAGUUUCAUAGGAAGAAGGAAGGAAGGAAGGAAGGAAGGAAGGAAGGAAGGAAAGAAAGAAAGAAAAAGAAAGAAAGAAAGGGAAAGACAGAAAGAAAGAAAAAGGGAGAAGGAGUUCCUGUUGUGGUGCAGUGGAAACAAAUCUGACUAGGAACCAUGAGGUUGUGGGUUCGAUCCUUGGCCUCACCCAGUGGGUUAAGGAUCUGGCAUUGCCAGAAGCUGUGCUGUAGCUUGAAGAUGCUUCUCGGAUCCUGCAUUGCUGUGGCUGUGGUGUAGGCCGGCAGCUGUAGCUCCAAUUUGACCCCUAGCCUGGGAAACUCCAUAUGCC